This 726-nucleotide ribosomal RNA is filed under the name uncultured bacterium. RNAcentral's name for it is "bacterial SSU rRNA". It matches the Rfam family "Bacterial small subunit ribosomal RNA", at positions 28 to 776 of the family's 1533-position model. The record is from RNAcentral.
GACGAACGCCGUCGGCAUGCCUAACACAUGCAAGUCGAACGGAGAUAGCAAUAUCUUAGUGGCGGACGGGUGAGUAAUGGAUGAGUAAUCUGCCUCAUACACUGGGAUAACACAGAGAAAUUUGUGCUAAUACCGGAUGAGACCACACUACCGCAUGGUAGAGGGGUCAAAGGGCUUUACUGGUAUGAGAUGAGCUCAUCUCCCAUUAGCUAGUUGGUAAGAUAACAGCCUACCAAGGCGACGAUGGGUAGCCGGCCUGAGAGGGUGAACGGCCACAUUGGAACUUAGACACGGUCCAAACUCCUACGGGAGGCAGCAGUGGGGAAUAUUGGGCAAUGGGCGAAAGCCUGACCCAGCAAUGCCGCGUGAGUGAAGAAGGUCUUCGGAUUGUAAAGCUCUUUGAUUAGGGACGAAAAAAUGACUGUACCUAAAGAACAAGCCCCGGCUAACUACGUGCCAGCAGCCGCGGUAAUACGUAGGGGGCAAGCGUUGUCCGGAAUUAUUGGGCGUAAAGGGUGCGUAGGUGGUUUAGCAAGUUGGAAGUGAAAUACCCAGGGCUUAACUCGGGUGCUGCUUUCAAAACUACUAGACUUGAGUGUGGGAGAGAAUAGUGGAAUUCCUAGUGUAGCGGUGGAAUGCGUAGAUAUUAGGAGGAACACCAGUGGCGAAGGCGACUAUUUGGCCCAUAACUGACACUGAGGCACGAAAGCGUGGGGAGCAAACAGG